Molecule: ribosomal RNA, 397 nt
Filed under: uncultured Macrococcus sp.
Lineage: Bacteria; Bacillati; Bacillota; Bacilli; Caryophanales; Staphylococcaceae
Description: bacterial SSU rRNA
Rfam family: Bacterial small subunit ribosomal RNA
Source: RNAcentral
UUGCACUCCUUGAAGUUAGCGGCGGACGGGUGAGUAACACGUGGGUAACCUACCUAUAAGACUGGGAUAACUUCGGGAAACCGGAGCUAAUACCGGAUAAUAUAUNCCUCCGCAUGGAGGAAUAGUCAAAGACGGUUUUGCUGUCACUUAUAGAUGGACCCGCGGUGUAUUAGCUAGUUGGUGAGGUAACGGCUCACCAAGGCAACGAUACAUAGCCGACCUGAGAGGGUGAUCGGCCACACUGGGACUGAGACACGGCCCAGACUCCUACGGGAGGCAGCAGUAGGGAAUCUUCCGCAAUGGACGAAAGUCUGACGGAGCAACGCCGCGUGAGUGAAGAAGGUUUUCGGAUCGUAAAACUCUGUUGUAAGGGAAGAACAAGUACGUUAGUAACUGA